GUCUUUUAGAUUAAUAAUUUAAAGUCUAAUCUGCCCACUGAAAAAUUUAAAGGGCCGCAAUUAAUUGUGCUAAGGUAGCAUAAUAAUUAGUUUUUUAAUUGAAAACUAGAAUGAAUGAUUGGACGAGAUAUAUAUUGUUUAAAAUUUAUUAAAAUAAAAUUUAUUAUUUUAGUCAAAAAACUAAAAUUUUUUAAAAAGACGAGAAGACCCUAUAGAUCUUUAUAUAAAUUAAAAUUUAAAAUUUUAAUUUAUAUUAAAUUGGGGUGAUUAAAAAAUUUAUUUAACUUUAAAAAAUUUAAACAUUUAUAUUUGGGUGACUGGUAUUAUGAACUAUUUAUAUAAUAAAUAAAGAUUAAGAUACCUUAGGGAUAACAGCGUAAUAUUAAUUUUAAGUUCUUAUUAAAAUUAAAGAUUGCGACCUCGAUGUUGAAUUAAAAUUUAUAUUAAAUGCAGAAGUUUAAUAAUUAAGUCUGUUCGACUUUUAAAAUUUU
Molecule: ribosomal RNA, 491 nt
Filed under: Zelolessica cheira
Lineage: Eukaryota; Metazoa; Arthropoda; Insecta; Trichoptera; Helicophidae
Description: partial 16S ribosomal RNA
Source: RNAcentral